GAAAAACAUCUGUCAUGGCUUAUCUACCAGGCAAUGAAUGUGUUUAGGGUGGAAAGUUGAGGUCUGUUGCUUGUACUGAUGGCACAGUUACAGCCUGGAAUGUGCAAGAGACAAGUUGACUGGAAAACUGCAUUGCCCUGACCUGAAGUACAACAAUCUGCAGUCACUGAAUGAGAUCUGAAGUGCAAGCAAUACAACGGAUAUUUUUACUUUAACAAGGGUUAGCAGAGGCGGUCAGGCUCCUCGCAGGCAGUACCACAUCCGAAAGCCAUCACAGCCCUAGCACAGGCUCACAACGGCUGCCUGUGGAGCACGCAGAGCCUGGCAGGGGCAAUCUGUGCAACAGCUUGCUGCUUUUCCACAUCACCGCUUUCACGCUGCUCAGCUACUCACUCAGUAAACAAAGAGCCUUUCCUAUCUGUGAGUAAUUAAAAAAAAAUUACUAAUGUUUAUUAAUCUCUUAUUAUCUAAAUAACUUUGCAUAGUAAUGAGUUAGCUGUUCACCUCCUUACAAUCACUUGUAAAAAUGUACUGGGGCUCAACGUGAAAUCGUGUGCAGAGAUUAAGGGAAGGAUUUCCAUGCACUUGAGCUGAAUCAAACAUGCCUGUUCCUGUCAAAGGAUAGCUUUCCAGAGCCUGUUGCUGGCAAUUCAUUCACGUAAAGUAUGUCCGCAACAGAGCUUUACACACUUGAUUGCAAAUUUUUGUUGUGACAGUUAGCUGAAACUUUUUAAUGGCAUCCUAAUGCGAUUCUUCAAUCAAUGCGUUUGCAUUCUUCAUGUACUUGUAUAAUCUAGUUAAUUUCACAUGCUAUUUAUUUAUUCAUUACUUAUUCUCAUGCCUAGUGCUCCAACUGUUAAAUUACCUUUUUUCCCCCGUUGUUCUGAUUAGUUUUGACCUAUCUCUUUCACUUCUCUAUAUGAAUUAGCUUGAGACUAUUGUAUCAGCACAGCAUCUCCAGUGUUACUGUCCUAAAAGUACAGAAGUGGAGAUGGCCUGGAGCAGAGAACAGUAGAAACACUUUUGAUCACUGCCACCACCACUGGAACAGAGAGAGAUUAGUCAGAUGUGUUGACUUACCUUAUUUGCUCUGCAGUGGUAGAGUUAACUGCUGGCUCUCCUAUGCUAUCCACAGCAGCUGCAUUGAACUUGAAACACUAAUGGAAAAUGGAAAUAUAUUGCAUUUGCUCAAAACGUGAAGAACUGAGGAAAAACUGUUCUGUGCAUUUGUUUCAGCAGCUAUGCAUCACCUCUUUCAUUACCGUAUAUAUUUUACAGCAAUUUAGGCAGUAUAUGCCAGCUGAUGAAGUAAUAAUCAGGAUGAUAUUACAUCAACCUCUAAAAAACAGCUUCACUUUUUUUUUUUUUUAGGUCAAAAAAGUCAAGUGUCAGGGAAAAACUGUGCUCAGUUGGGUUUAAACAUACAUUUUAGUUUUACACACUGGGUCCUAACAGCAUCAAUCACAGCUUAAAUGGGUAGACUGUUAGUCAAAAGUACCAGCUCUUUGACAUUUGUACAAAUUUUGUAGGAGUUGGGAAGUUCAGACUCUAUCUUGCUUUCUUAUCCCUCCUCUUCUCUGCAACCCCCCCCCCCCCCCCCUCACUUUAGGCAGCUUCUGCAGGAGGAACCAAACCACUUAUGCACUGAAGAUGCCAGAUGUGAAUCAGGCUUCGUGUGUGACAGCAUUUCAGGAUGCCAGGAUCGAUUUACCACUGUUUCACCUAGCAGUUUGUGGGUAGCUGUUGGGACUACUGCGAUGACAGAUACCUCUCCAAGGACACCUUAUUAAAGGGAGCAGGACGUAUAAGGCAAUGUAUGAAGCAGGUCUCAGGUUUCAUACUAUCAGGAAGAUUUGAAAGUACACCUUCCUGCAUGGAAGGGCACAGAACAGAAAUAAUUCUCCUGGGAUGUGGAUCAGCACUGAAGCAGUAUUCUAUUUUCAGAGCUCUACUGGAAUGUUUCCAAGACCACCAUGACACGACUACUUCAAUAUGGGUGGUAAACAUGUCUCUACUGCAAACUUUUCUGCACUGUUUGCUGUGCAUUCUUUAACCACUGUUGUUUUAGUGGAAGGAUUCUCUCUGCUGCCACCUCAUCUUUGGACCCCUCUCUGAAUAUAUGCAUGGAAAAAAGCAAACAAACGAUGUGCUUUGCUGAACAGAUACCAUUUACGAGGUGGAGCCUGCAGAUAGUCAAGGUAAGAAAUAAUCUGAUCGUUAUAUGAGUGCUAAACCACAGCAUAAUUACUUUCUGCUUUGAGCCUUGUCACUUAAUCAAGCUGCUUCCAAUUACAAGGAAGUAAAUGCCUGUACCUGUCAUGGGUAAGGCAGUCACUAGUGGAAAGAUGGGAUUGGGUUAGCACCCUUAGAUAAAAAACUAAUUAACCAGUAUUGAUAUUUUUUAAAUGAACUGAGCAUUACUGCCUUCCUCUAUGGAGACAUGAUCAAGGCUGCUUACAGUGUUGUGUAAGAGGGACUAUACGGAUAUGGCAGAACAGAUGCUGCAGUAUCUCUCUCCAGCAUCUGCUUAUCACAAUAUAUUGUGAAAGCACACAGACAUUAAUCCCAAAAUUCAGGUACUUUUGCUUAAGUAGCACUUGGGACUCUGCAAACAGAGGUUCUGCUUUUAACACUUUAUGAUCAAAGCCAUAUUUUUAUUUUUAAAGUUGAGAUUUAAUUUCAGUCAAACUAAUAAAUUCAAAGCUACAUCUUUCUGUUUUCCAAAGUAUACUGUUAAAGAGACACAGCAGCACUGACAGCUAGUGAUACCACGUUAUGGUACCAGAAGGACAGAAAUCUGGACAUCAAGCCUCAAACAUGCAUACUACACUGAACUGAGCAUUAACAAUUUUUUAUAGCUACUGCUUUUCAUCUAGGACCCAAGUUGUAGUUCUCUCACAACACAGGUCUUAGAGAUGUGGCAGGUACAAUGGGUAUAUCACCACUGCAGUUGCUAGCACUGAUUAGUUAAGUCUUACAAAAAUAUGCCUUAUACUUACCUAUAAAAUGUUACGUGUGCUAAAGCUCUUAAGGUAUUUUUUAAUGCUACAAGUAAUUUUUCAGGGUAUCUCUUUCCCCAAAUCGUAUCUGUUGACACCUUACCAACUGUAGUUACACAAGAAACGAGGUGGUUAAGAACAGUAGAGACCACCCUCCCAAAAGUCCAGACUUAGGAGCAGCAAUUAAAACUUAAGCUCAGAAACCAGCUCCAGAGCAAGCAAGUUCCUACAUGUUCACCAGUAUUGUUGUAAAUAAGGAUGCCCCCCUUCACCAGCAGUGAAGUCCUGUAUACACCAAACCUCUUUAUCAAAAAUCACAGUUAAUGAUGGUUUUUUAGUUAACUCUAAUCCCAGUUAAAACUUUUUUUUUUUAAAUGUGGUCUUGACUUGAUUUCAAUAAUAUGGGUGCUACUUUCCUGUAAAAUUCAGUUCUUUAUUUUGGAGAAAGUAAAGUCCACUCACUAUAAGAGUUGCUUAAAAUGCUUUAUUUUAUUAAGUAAAUCAAAUGUGUACAAGUAAAUUCAUACAGAAUGUUCAAUACAUGCAUACUUAAUGUCUUUAUAAUAUCUAGGAUUCUGUCUUAUUGUCAGAAGUUUAAAUACUGCCUGAUGUGGGCCUAAUAUAUCAAUGCUGUAAGAUGUUUAACACUUAAAAUAGUCUCCAUAUCCCACAGUAUAGGGUGUCUAGAUGAAGACCUACCAGAACCAUCAUGGUACUGCAGUGUAAUUACAUUAAAAAAACUAUCAACUACUUCUUAACAUACAAUCCCAUAAUGGUCAGGCAAUCAUUCACUCACUGAAAACUUCUCUCUUGUAGGACUGUGAGUAAUCCAUGACUGAGAGCAUGUUUUAUUGGGAGUGCCUGUACCUGCUGAGAAACCACCAGCUUUCACGGGAGUAGUGAGCCAAUCCUUGGAAACUUCAGUUUUUCAACUUAAAAUCCACAAAGUCAAAGGAAAGUUGCCUGCCUGUAAGUACACAGUACUAGUACUUCAACUCUAUGUUAAGAAGUGUGUAACACCUCCGUCCUAAUUGUAAGGGAAUUAGAUCUCACUCUUGGAGUUUUCUUCGCAGGCUAUCACAACACUAAUGUUGCUAAAAUGGUAUCCUGAAAUGCAGCAUUUCCUCAUACAGAAUUCCAGCUAAUAGUACUAUGCUUGAGUUCAGUACCAACUAUGCUGAUACACCAGUUUCAUUAAACCUCAAUAUGCUUAGAGGUCACUUCUCUUCACAUGCCAAAGCUGCAGAGGUUAGGAUGGAGCCAAAAUGGUCCUGGUUUUAUAAUAAAGCCCUAAGAAAGGCAGCAGGUUGUAUAGUUACCUCCUUGUGAGCAAAAUCCCUGCCCUAAAACUAUGCAACCUACUACCUCUUCCUAGGAGCCCAAUGCUUCCUUUUUGCAGUUCUUACUUAGCAGCUCUUUGUGAAGUCACCUUAGCUUACCAGCUGCUUUUGGCCUCCUGCAUUUUUAGGCCAGGGCAUGUCCUGUAAGUUUGCACUGUUCAGUAAGUGGUUAACCAGUUCACCGCUCCUGGCUUAAAUACUCUUGAAUGGCUCCAUUUUCUCUCUUACUAUGCUAGAUUUUCAGUCCCAAAAAGCAUUUUCAUGCCUUUUUUGUUGUUGCUAGAGCAAGAUACUAGCUGCUCACUCUACUGCAGAAGCAGCUAGACUUGAGUACACCUAAGACUUUAGGGGGAAAAAAGAACACAGUAAGCUUUAAAUCUCUUUUAUAAAAACAUAACCACUUCAGAGAAAAAUUACAAUUCUGGAUCUUGGGCGCCCAAACUUCAUAGCUUUACACUCCCAAACAGUUCAGGGGUGAGUUUUGGCCAUUCAACACUUUAAUCUUUGUAUUACAUUGUUUAAGUCUCACUUGCUAGAAGAGCUAGAGAAAAAUAAGCAGACAUAUUAAUAAAGUAUAACUGUAAGUUUUCCUUCCAACAUCUACUAAACAACUGAAGUAGUGGAAUUUUAAUGCAUUACAGGAAUUGGGGUCUCAAAACAGUUUAAGUCACAGUGUACGUGCCUGAGCCACCAGAACUUUUAGAUUAAACACCAAACUGUUUUAGAAUAAUUUCUGGUCUAUGGGGUAUUCCACUCCAUAGCUAGUAACAGACGCAUUUUCGAUAUCCAGUCAGCACUGUGCCACUCACCUUGGAAGAAAUGUCACAGCAGUCGAAUACCAUUUAGGGUUUGCACCAUCCACACACUGUUACUCAGUGACAGAAUUUACAGGAUUAAUUUCAUACUUUACAACCCUAAACUUAUCUGACAAAACUAUUUUUGCUCACUCGAUGUGGAAAUGAAUGACUGCAAAAGACCGCAGUUUGUUUUACUCCUCAGGGAAGGCAAUAGAUUGUAUAGUUAUCUCCUGAACAGGGUAAAAUAACUACCCUACAACUAUACAAUCUACUACCUCACUCUGACAGAGAAGUGUGUACUUAAGAUCUUUGCUGAAGUAGCUAACCAUAGCCUCAUUCUGAAGAGUAUUAAUAUUUGAUGCUUCAUUUAGCAAUGCUAAAGAACACAACUUAUCAGAACAUCAAUCAUUUGUAGUUGAUUACCCAACCUUAAAGGAAUCAAUCUAUUUUUAUUUUUAUUCUUUAGAGGAGAAAAAAUAAUAUAGAAUGACAACCUAGAUUUUUCUAAGAAUUACAGAAAUCUAAAUGCAAUUACCUGUAGGUGCUGCAGAAACAUUUCUCUCCUAUAAAAAACAUUCCAAGUAUAGAAGUUCAGUAGAAUCUCACAUAGAACUUUAAAAGUGAAGUGUUUCCACUGUUGACUUUCCGCCACUUUAGGAAAGACAGUAGAUUGUAUAGUUAUCUCCCAGUUGUGGGUAUGACCCUAAAACUAUACAACCUACUACCUCAUCCCACAGUGCAGGCAUCUUCGGAGGUGACGUCGAAAGAUCGUUGCUUUAACAGAGACAAGUUAAGCCAGCUGCAGACAGCGUUACAAUGGAGAAUACCGAUUACAGAAAAAACAUUCCUAUUUCUCCCCAGUCAUGCAAUGAAGUUAUUUUAAAUGUAAAUUCCUUUAUUUCAAAUUUUACCAACCGUUUGGUCUUAAUAUAUUUAAACUCUAGACACUUAGCAAGCUGUAGUAGUUACAGCAACUACAGUCAUCAAACCUUUCUGUUACAGGAAAGGUACUGUUAGUGUUCCACAGAUGUAACCUCUCAUCUGAAAUUAGAAAACAAUGCCUAUCAGAAGCAUCACACACAGACCUAAAUUUCUUCUUCUUUAGAACUUUAAAGUAGUAAAAUCUAGGACCGUUAAUAGCUCAAAGAAAAUCACGUACUUUCUAAAAUAGUAUUUUGUGGUUUUUCUGUUAGUCUGAAAUGGCGUACAGUUCUGUGCACAGGGAUUCUAUUAUAAACAAAACUUAUCAAGGCCCAUACUCUGACACUUAAUUGUUAAACUGCCUUACCAAAAGGCCACUUAAAUAUACUCUUUUUUUACAUCAGAAACAAAUGCGUUUCUCUCACUGCCCCGACAGAACCUUAAAGCCAGUAUCUACAUUACCAUAGCUCAACAUGACCUUGAAGUAAAAAUCUUAAAAUAUUGAAAUAAAAAUACUUGCCAGACUGAUGUGUGACUUACAAUCCCCUUCUUAGCAAGGACAUCUUGAGAACAGAGCUGAAGAGGAAAACUGAUCAUUUUGUCAGUGUAAUUUAUAAGAUUGCUGAAAGUGUUUACAGAAAUGCACAGUUUUUCAAACAUUAAAUACAUGUCGUACUAGUACUUCAUCCCAAUUCUAAGCUGAGGUUUUCAGACCAGUCAUCAAACAAAGCCUUGAUAGAACAAGAGCUCCUAAUGCAUGUUAAUGUCCUUGCCAAAAAACACAACGCGUGAUCCAAUGCAUUAAUAUACAAAGGGAUGACGUUAUUCCUUGAACGGAGAGAAAAAAAAAGUACUUUCCAACCCCCUCAGUGCUUUACUCCAGAAACCUUUAUACAAAUAUUGAUGACAAAAUUUGGUGAAUCACUCUUAAUAUCUUGCUUGUAACUGGUUAGAAAUCCCAUUAUUUGCUUUUGUUAACUUACAUGCCUAUUGGAACGUGUACUUUACCAUGCACAGAUGGACACAAGCAGUUGGUCUCCAUGUCCAAAACAAAUAAAUUAGAACAGUAGCAGUGGGACAAAGUCAAAUGGCUGUGAAGCACUGGCACAUAUCACAUCCUUUUUGUGAGCUCAGGCAGAGGUCCUGCUGUCAAGCAAAUAUUCAAUGGAGUUGCUGGCAGUCCUUUCAUAGUUCCUUGUUCCUACACCUAAACCUUCAACCGACAAGCAAAAUUCAUGUAAAGAACAAGUUCCUAAAUGGGAGACACAGCCUGCUUGAGGCCUCAGUGCGGUGAGCCUAGCUACAGGGAGCAUCAACUCGCUGUUCGUCACUCAGUGCUUCCAUGAAGUCCAAGAUCUUUAAUUUCAGGUGGAACUUUAAGACGAAGCUGCUGAUUUCCUACACCCAGCAAGGUAUGCCAAAACCCAGAAGGUAUGCCAAAAAUAUAAACUGUAUUAAAUAUGCAGGACACUUGUUAGUUAUCUUUUCUUAAAUGAAGCCUGAAGGACAUUAAGAUUACUUUAUUUCACCACUUCUAGAUAGAAGUUGGCUAAAAACCUAACCAACUUGAGAAGAUGCAUCAAUUUUUUUUGUAGUUGUUUAUUUCCACUGACAGUACGACUUCCCAAUCAAGUUCUGUUAUAAGACAUUUUAAACCAUUUUCUACUGCCACCAUGAUAUUUUCUUGUUAUUUGCAGCUCCUCAAUCCAUAAGCAUUUGUCUGCUUUCAGCUUCCUGAAACAAGAGCUGUUCAUCUACGAGAGGUCUGGAAGGGCUAUGUGUUCCUUAAGGUCAUAAAUGUCCUUGAAAAAAUAUUUUGAAUGACAUCCAAUCGUUAACCUGUUGUUAUAUACAGCAGUCUGGCUUGAGAUUGAUUAUAAAGUGCACACAGGGCACUAGAAAAACCUCAUUCUGUAACAAAUAUGCCUUACAAAGGAUCAUCACAUAUCCUGUCUUUUAACUAGCCGAGAAAAGCACUUUUAUCGACAUGACGUCACUCAGAUAGGGUACCUACUAUUUUUAAUUUGGUUUAAUGCUAGAAGGGUAUAGAAUUAAAAGAACCCAAGUUCUAGUCAAAAUUGUCUGUUGAAACUGUAUUCUCGCGAAGUCUAGCUCAUUAGUGGUUUGCUUCAUGUUAGUCCUGAAGUUUUGGGGCUUAUAAGAAAUAAACGCACAGGUUAUUUCUAACAGUUUCUAAAAACCCUAUCACCUAAGUUGCGUUGUCCUUUCAAGGAAUGAGAGCUGCCAGGUUUCCCUGCAGGUCCGUUGUAUGCCUCUUCCCUGACACAAUACAUCAUGCUUUCCUGGCAGGCACACAAGCAGAGAAGCUUGAUGUACAGCACGCUGGAUAAAUUAUACUCCUGGCACAGCCUCUACUGACUUGGUAUCAUCUUAGCUUGAGGUGAAUCUGUUAUUGCACACAGCCCUGCUGCUGAAGUCACCGUGCUGGUGACAUCAUGCCCGAGCGUACAGGCAGGAGUUUCAGGGCUGGCUACCUGCACAUUCUGUACUUCAGCAACAAACACUUAGACAAUUAAUUUUUUUAGCUUUUAAAAAUACAUAAUUAACUCCUUUUCCCCUGCAGCAGCUGUGUCCAAUGGAUAUUUUUCCAGUCACUGUGUGCUUGUAUUUAAACAUCCCCGAAGCAGUGAAAGUGAAGAAAAUGACACUACUUGUGCAACUUUCCCACAGCACCGACAGGGACGACUGAGUUUGCUGCCAAACGAGCGCACUGAAGCUGCCUGCCCCAGCCAAGGGCUGAGGCCCGAGCCUGUACUCUGCUCUAACCACACGAUGGAGCUCUAGCGUUUACGUUACAAGCAUUAACACCAGUUCCUUGCCCCUUAACUUCAUCAUCUGCACUGGAGCUACACUUCAGCUCUCACCAACUCUCGUUACAGAAAGAAUAUAAAUAUCCAGAAACCACAGCUUGAAAGAAAUCUGAAGUCACUGCUAACCGCUCAUGCAUGGAAUGAAG
Molecule: long non-coding RNA, 9034 nt
Organism: Cygnus olor (mute swan)
Lineage: Eukaryota; Metazoa; Chordata; Aves; Anseriformes; Anatidae
Exons: 5
Source: RefSeq, a predicted model, not a curated record